GUGUCAGCAGCCGCGGUAAUACGGAAUGUGCAAACGUUAUUCGGAAUCACUGGGCUUAAAGAGUCUGUAGGCGGUUUGUUAGGUGAGGUGUGAAAUCCCUCGGCCCAACCGAGGAAUUGCGCUUCAAACCGGCGAGCUAGAGGAGGAUAGAGGUGGGCGGAACUGAUGGUGGAGCGGUGAAAUGCGUUGAUAUCAUCAGGAACACCGGAGGCGAAAGCGGUCCACUGGGUCCUUUCUGACGCUGAUGGACGAAAGCUAGGGGAGCGAACGGGAUUAGAUACCCCCGUAGUCC
Molecule: ribosomal RNA, 292 nt
Filed under: uncultured bacterium
Lineage: Bacteria
Description: partial 16S ribosomal RNA
Rfam family: Bacterial small subunit ribosomal RNA
Source: RNAcentral